AAAAGCGAAUAAGGGCGCACGGAGGAUGCCUAGACAACAAGAGCCGAAGAAGGACGUGAUAAGCUGCGAAAAGCUAGGACGAGUUGCACAUUAGCGUUGACUCCUAGAUAUCCGAAUGGGAAAACCUAUAUACUUGAAGAGUAUAUACGAAAGAGGUAAGUGGGCGAACUGAAACAUCUAAGUAGCCUGAGGAAAAUAAAGUAAAAACGAUUCUCUAAGUAGCGGCGAGCGAACGGGGAAGAGCCUAAACCAUGGUAGUGUUAAAGUUGGCACGUUGCUAUUAUGGGGUAGAGGGAUAGUUGAUUGACGGAUAGCCAUGAAGUCGACAAAUUAAAUGACGUAAGAGGAACACAACUGGAAAGUUGGACCGAAGAAGGUGAUAGUCCUGUAGAUUGUAAAAUCAUUUAAAUGUUUUAACUAAUCCCGAGUAGUAUCGGACACGAGGAAUCCGGUGUGAAUCAGCGAGGACCAUAUCUCGUAAGGCUAAAUACUCUUGUUGAUCGAUAGAGAAUAGUACCGUGAGGGAAAGGUGAAAAGAACCCUGAGUAAGGGAGUGAAAUAGAACCUGAAACCGUGUGCUUACAAACGGUAGGAGCCCUUUGGGGUGACUGCGUGGAUUUUGGUUAAUCAUCCUGCGAGUUAUGAUGUGUGGCAAGGUUAAGUAAACGGAGCCGAAGGGAAACCGAGUCUUAAUAGGGCGAUAAGUCGCAUGUCAUAGACGCGAAACCUAGUGAUCUAGGCCUGUCCAGGUUGAAGCUGGGGUAAGACCCAGUGGAGGACCGAACUCACCACCGUUGAAAAGUUGGGAGAUGAGAUAGGUUUAGGGGUGAAAAGCCAAUCGAACUAGGAGAUAGCUCGUUCUCUCCGAAAUGCAUUUAGGUGCAGCCUUAAUAAAGAUAUAUGGGGGUAGAGCUCUGUAUGGCCUAGGGGGCGUAUAGCUUACCGAAGUCAAGCAAACUGCGAAUACCAUAUAUUAAUUAUUAGGAGUGAGUCCAUGGAUGACAAGGUCCAUGGACGAGAGGGAAACAGCCCAGACCAUCAGCUAAGGUCCCAAAUUAUGUCUAAGUGGGGAAGGAGGUGGAUACUCACAAACAACCAGGAGGUUGGCUUAGAAGCAGCCAUUCCUUUAAAGAGUGCGUAAUAGCUCACUGGUCGAGAGUAUCUGCGCCGAAGAUUUAACGGGGCUAAGACAUAAACCGAAGCUAUGGAAACUAGAUUUUAUCUAGUUUGGUAGGAGAGCGUUCUGUAAGCCGUAGAAGGUGUACUGUAAGGUAUAUUGGAGGUAUCAGAAGUGAGAAUGCAGGAAUGAGUAGCGAGAAAGAGAGUGAGAAUCUCUCUGGCCGAAAGUCCAAGGUUUCCAGAGGAAGGUUUGUCCGCUCUGGGGGAGUCGGGACCUAAGUCGAGGCUUAAAAGCGUAGGCGAAUGGAAAAUAGGUUAAUAUUCCUAUACCACUAUAUAAACGUUAUUAGAGAUGGAGUGACGCAGGAAGGUAUGUGAGAAGGGCGACGGUUGUCCCUUUCUAAGGAAGUAGUGUGAACAUGGAGGCAAAUCCACAUGUUUAAACAUGAGAUCUUAUGGGUAAGUAGCUUAGGCUAUAAGUCACAAAUCCUAUACUGCCGAGAAAAACUUCUAUUGAGAUUAUGUAGUGCCCGUACUGUAAACCGACACAGGUGGACUGGGUGAGUAACCCGAGGCCGACAGGAUAACUCUAGCUAAGGAACUCUGCAAAAUGGCCCCGUAACUUCGGGAGAAGGGGUACCUAUGUUAUGUGAUAAGAUAAACACUUUGAGCAGAAAUAGGUCGCAGUGAAGAGUCCCAAGCAACUGUUUACCAAAAACACAGGUCUAUGCUAAGCUGAAAGGCGACGUAUAUGGGCUGACACCUGCCCAGUGCUGGAAGGUUAAGAGGAGGAUUGAGAGAUUCGAAUUGAAGCCCCAGUGAACGGCGGCCGUAACUAUAACGGUCCUAAGGUAGCGAAAUUCCUUGUCGGG
Molecule: ribosomal RNA, 1991 nt
Filed under: activated sludge metagenome
Description: bacterial LSU rRNA
Rfam family: Bacterial large subunit ribosomal RNA
Source: RNAcentral